Molecule: ribosomal RNA, 340 nt
Filed under: uncultured Burkholderiales bacterium
Lineage: Bacteria; Pseudomonadati; Pseudomonadota; Betaproteobacteria; Burkholderiales
Description: bacterial SSU rRNA
Rfam family: Bacterial small subunit ribosomal RNA
Source: RNAcentral
CUCGGAGUUUGAUCCUGGCUCAGAUUGAACGCUGGCGGAAUGCUUUACACAUGCAAGUCGAGCGAUGAAGCUGGAGCUUGCUCCGGUGGAUUAGUGGCGAACGGGUGAGUAAUAUAUCGGAACGUGCCCAGUCGUGGGGGAUAACGUAGCGAAAGUUACGCUAAUACCGCAUACGAUCUAAGGAUGAAAGCGGGGGAUCGCAAGACCUCGCGCGAUUGGAGCGGCCGAUAUCAGAUUAGGUAGUUGGUGGGGUAAACGGCUCACCAAGCCAACGAUCUGUAGCUGGUCUGAGACGACGACCAGCCACACUGGAACUGAGACACGGGUCCAGACUCCGUAC